Molecule: ribosomal RNA, 870 nt
Filed under: uncultured anaerobic bacterium
Lineage: Bacteria
Description: bacterial SSU rRNA
Rfam family: Bacterial small subunit ribosomal RNA
Source: RNAcentral
AUGAACGCUAGCGGGAGGCUUAACACAUGCAAGUCGAGGGGCAUCACGGGUAGCAAUACCUGGUGGCGACCGGCAGACGGGUGAGUAACGCGUAUGUAACCUACCCUGUACAGGGGGAUAACCCGGAGAAAUUCGGACUAAUAUCCCAUAAUGAUAUCUGGGGGCAUCUUCGGAUAUUUAAAGUUCCGGCGGUACAGGAUGGGCAUGCGUAACGUUAGCUAGUUGGUAAGGUAACGGCUUACCAAGGCUUUGAUGUUUAGGGGUCCUGAGAGGGUGGUCCCCCACACUGGUACUGAGACACGGACCAGACUCCUACGGGAGGCAGCAGUGAGGAAUAUUGGUCAAUGGGCGCAAGCCUGAACCAGCCAUCCCGCGUGCAGGAAGACGGCCCUAUGGGUUGUAAACUGCUUUUCCAGGGAGAGAAACUUGCGUACGCGUUGCGCAAUUGACGGUACCCUGGGAAUAAGCAUCGGCUAACUCCGUGCCAGCAGCCGCGGUAAUACGGAGGAUGCGAGCGUUAUCCGGAUUCAUUGGGUUUAAAGGGUGCGUAGGCGGACUAUUAAGUCAGUGGUGAAAUCCUGCAGCUUAACUGCAGAACUGCCAUUGAUACUGAUAGCCUUGAGUUUGGUUAAGGUAGGCGGAAUGUGUAAUGUAGCGGUGAAAUGCUUAGAUAUUACACAGAACACCAAUUGCGUAGGCAGCUUACUGAGCCGACACUGACGCUGAGGCACGAAAGCGUGGGGAUCGAACAGGAUUAGAUACCCUGGUAGUCCACGCCGUAAACGAUGAUUACUCGCUGUUGGCGAUACACUGUCAGCGGCUAAGCAAAAGCAAUAAGUAAUCCACCUGGGGAGUACGGCCGCAAGGUUG